UCGAAAUCGGUAGACGCUACGGACUUAAAAUCCGUUGGCUUUUUAGACCAUGAAGGUUCAAGUCCCUCUACCCCCA
Molecule: transfer RNA, 76 nt
Filed under: Lophozia lantratoviae
Lineage: Eukaryota; Viridiplantae; Streptophyta; Jungermanniopsida; Jungermanniales; Lophoziaceae
Description: partial tRNA-Leu
Rfam family: tRNA
About the family: Transfer RNA (tRNA) molecules are approximately 80 nucleotides in length.
Source: RNAcentral